UAUCAAUAAGCGGAGGAAAAAGAACCUAACAAGGAUUCCCCUAGUAACUGCGAGUGAAGCGGGAAAAGCUCAAAUUUAAAAUCUGGUGGUUUUGCCAUCCGAGUUGUAAUCUGGAGAAGCGUUUUCUGUGCUGGACCGUGUACAAGUCUCUUGGAACAGAGCGUCAUAGAGGGUGAGAAUCCCGUCCAUGACACGGACACCCAGUGCUAUGUGAUACGUUUUCAAAGAGUCGAGUUGUUUGGGAAUGCAGCUCAAAAUGGGUGGUAAGCUCCAUCUAAAGCUAAAUAUUGGCGAGAGACCGAUAGCGAACAAGUACCGUGAGGGAAAGAUGAAAAGCACUUUGGAAAGAGAGUUAAACAGUACGUGAAAUUGUUGAAAGGGAAACGCUUGAAGUUAGUCGCGUCUUACUUGACUCAGCCUUGCUUCGGCUUGGUGUAUUUCAUGUGAGACGGGUCAACAUCGAUUUUGACCGGCAGACAAGGGGAGUAAGAAUGUGGCACUCUUCGGAGUGUGUUAUAGCUUAUUCUCAUAUGUGUCGGUUGGGAUCGAGGACCGCAGCGCGCCCUUGUGGCCGGAGGUUCGCCUCACGUUACGCGCUUAGGAUGUUGGCAUAAUGGCUUUAAGCGACCCGUCUUGAAACACGGACCAAGGAGUCUAACAUGCUCGCGAGUGUUAGGGUGGAAAACCCUUGCGCAGAAUGAAAGUAAAAGUUGGGAACCUCCGCAAGGGGGCGCACCGACGCCCGGCCCAGAAGUUUACGGACGGUGCUGCGGUAGAGCGCGUAUGUUGGGACCCGAAAGAUGGUGAACUAUGCCUGAAUAGGGCGAAGCCAGGGGAAACCCUGUGUGGAGGCUCGUAGCGAUUCUGACGUGCAAAUCGAUCGUCAAAUUUGGGUAUAGGGGCGAAAGACUAAUCGAACCAUCUAGUAGCUGG
This 933-nucleotide ribosomal RNA is filed under the name Fuscoporia gilva. Its description in RNAcentral is "LSU rRNA". It matches the Rfam family "Eukaryotic large subunit ribosomal RNA", at positions 41 to 954 of the family's 3401-position model. Lineage: Eukaryota; Fungi; Basidiomycota; Agaricomycetes; Hymenochaetales; Hymenochaetaceae. The record is from RNAcentral.